GAAAUGCGAUAAGUAAUGUGAAUUGCAGAAUUCAGUGAAUCAUCGAAUCUUUGAACGCACCUUGCGCUCCUUGGUAUUCCUUGGUGCAUGCCUGUUUGAGUAUCAUGAAAUCUUCAAAGUAAAUCUUUUGUUAACUCAAUUGGUUUCUACUUUGGUAUUGGAGGUCUUUGCAGCUUCACACCUGCUCCUCUUUGUUCAUUAGCUGGAUCUCAGUGUUAUGCUUGGUUCCACUCGGCGUGAUAAGUUAUCUAUCGCUGAGGACACUGUAAAGGGUGGCCAAGGUAAAUGCAGAUGAACCGCUUCUAAUAGUCCAUUGACUUGGACAAUACUUUUAUGAUCUGAUCUCAAAUCAGGUAGGACUACCCGCUGAACUUAAGC
This 378-nucleotide unclassified non-coding RNA is filed under the name plant metagenome. Its description in RNAcentral is "partial contains 5.8S ribosomal RNA, internal transcribed spacer 2, and large subunit ribosomal RNA". The stretch from base 1 to 105 matches the Rfam family "5.8S ribosomal RNA", at positions 50 to 154 of the family's 154-position model. The record is from RNAcentral.